RNAcentral lists this long non-coding RNA (1162 nucleotides) under Castor canadensis (American beaver). RNAcentral's name for it is "lncRNA (ENSCCNG00000030974.1)". The record is from RNAcentral. Lineage: Eukaryota; Metazoa; Chordata; Mammalia; Rodentia; Castoridae.
GUAAGAGUGUGUAGUCAGCUUUCUUUUUGCUGGGUAUGCUCGUAAAUCUGAUGUCAGAGCAGUUCCAAAGAUGGUUGGGGAGUUCUUGAAACCCUGUGAGAGAUGGUUCCAGGUUAACUGUUCUUAUCUCCCUGACUGGGGGGGGGGUCUUCCCAUUGGAGAGCAAAGAUGGGUUGGCUCACAGGUGCCAACAGGACGCAGAAGACGGCAUCUUUUGAGUCUCGGCGUGAGAAGCAGGUUGUCUCUACUGGUAUCAGGGCCAGCAAGGUGUAUGGGUUAGGAUCCACAGGGUGCAGAGCCACUGUUGUUUGAUUGACUGCCCGGAAAUCCUGCACUGGGCAAUAAUCAUCUUGUCUGCUUCUGAACUGGCAGUAAGGAAGUGUGCCAGGCAGAUUGACAGGGUCUCAGGAUUCCAUAUUUUAAGGUCUCUGGAGAUGAUGAGAUAUCUUUGAUCACCUGACAGACAAAAGCAGGCCCCAUGUCUGACCCGAUGCUGCUAGGUACCCUAAAUUAUUGAAUAAUUUUUUUUUGCUAGUGCCCUUGAUAUCUCUGCAGCCUUUUCUGUGUGGGUGGGGUAUGCUUCCAUUCAGCCUAUAAAAGUGCAGACCACCACCAGAAGGUACUGAUAAGUUUUGCUUGGUUGGAUUUUAGUGAAGUCUAUUUCCAGGUGUUGGAAUUGGUAGACUCCUUUUUUUCUGGAUGAGUAGUGGAGGCUUGGGCCCCUGUCCUGGGUUGUGUUGGCACAGUUCAGGCAAGCCUUGCUGGCCAACUGAGUUAGAGUUGCCAAUCGAGGAAUGACGAGAUGUUUUUUAACAGUCCUUGUAGGGAGGUUUUGCCCAAAUGAGUGAUGUCAUGUGCCAGCCUUACCAGGCCUGUGGCUGCUUUUUCUGAUAUCAGGAUCCUUCCUUCUAGGGUGAUGAACCAGCCUUUUGAGUUUUCUUUAGCCCCUGUUUUAUGGGCCUGUUCUCUUUCUUGUGGGCUCUGGCUUCCAUCAGUGAAGAGCUCCAGGUCAGCAUUGGGAAUAGCAGUGUCCACUAAAUUGGGCCGAGAAGAGAAGACUUCGUCUAAACCUCUUCACAAGAAUGGAGGGGUUCCCCCUCCUCUUCUGACAGUAAGAGUGAAAAGAAAACAUAUGAUCUUCAAUAAGAAUGUUAUCCUGUGA